GGAGUGGUUGAAAAAACGAGUUUUAAUGACUCCAACCUAAGUGUGUGUAAACAUCCGACUUCAACUGUAUUUGACAGAGAAAUAGAUUUAAUCUCUUCAUCUGGUGAUCCUAUCUUGGUAGAAUCCACAUUAUACUGAAUAGUAUUACAACCUGUAAUGCUUUUAAUCGCUUUUAAAUCUACUGCAUUACACAACUCCACAAGAUUUCUCUGCAUUAUGGUAUUCAUAUUCCUCAUGCUACGCUUGUAUUCAUUGCCUCAUCAGUCAUCUUGCAUUUGUGUCGUCUCACUUUACACCCAUUUAAUCCAUAUGUAACCUUUCUCCAUCCAACCCUGCAACCAGCAACAUUAACUUCCACCAGCUCAUCCAUUGUCACCACUAACAUGAUUGCUACUAAUUCAACAACCCACGUUCUCUCUGCUACCACUUCAUCUGCCACCACUACUAGCAUGCCUCUAACUACUAGCUCAUCAACUGUUCAAACCACUACCACGACCACUCCUGCAGCUACAACUAAUGUGCCGACAUUACCCAGCACAACCACUGGUAAGGUAUCUGUAGCAAUGGAUCUGAUCUCAGUUGAUGACAAUUUGAUCUGAUUAUCGUUAUAGUGCAAAUAUCAUUUUUCUGAAUGAUUCAAUUUGAUACCUUCAUAUAUGUCUACGUAGUUUAGUCUGAUCACAUGACAUUUGGCAGUCACUGCAUUGUCAUUUACCUUCAGGAGAAAAGGUAAAGAUGAGAGAUCUAUCCAGUGAUGUAGUGUGUACACUGGAAACAUUCUGUCUGUACCCUGAUCUCCUUGUUAAGGGACCCUCCAAACCUUGUCACUUGCCAUAAAGCUUCCAAAUUCAACUGAAGAACCAUGAGAAGUAGACCUUCCAUUCCGUGGGGAGAG
Molecule: non-coding RNA, 895 nt
Organism: Oncorhynchus mykiss (rainbow trout)
Lineage: Eukaryota; Metazoa; Chordata; Actinopteri; Salmoniformes; Salmonidae
Source: RefSeq, a predicted model, not a curated record